This 74-nucleotide transfer RNA is filed under the name Talaromyces marneffei ATCC 18224. RNAcentral's name for it is "tRNA-Ile (TAT) (tRNA-Ile-TAT-2-1)". It matches the Rfam family "tRNA". Rfam says of the family: Transfer RNA (tRNA) molecules are approximately 80 nucleotides in length. Their secondary structure includes four short double-helical elements and three loops (D, anti-codon, and T loops). Lineage: Eukaryota; Fungi; Ascomycota; Eurotiomycetes; Eurotiales; Trichocomaceae. The record is from RNAcentral.
ACCCUUGUAGCUCAGUUGGUUAGAUCGUCGUGCUUAUAUCACGAAUGUCCCUGGUUCGAGCCCAGGUAAGGGUA